AGGACGAACGCUGGCGGCGUGCUUAACACAUGCAAGUCGAACGGUGACCCUCGGAGCUUGCUCUGGGGUGAUCAGUGGCGAACGGGUGAGCAACACGUGGGCAACCUGCCCUUAGCUCUGGGAUAAGCCCGAGAAAUCGGGUCUAAUACCGGAUACGACACGGGACGGCAUCAUCUCCGUGUGGAAAGAAUUUUGGCUAAGGAUGGGCCCGCGGCCUAUCAGCUAGUUGGUGGGGUAAUAGCCUACCAAGGCGACGAC
RNAcentral lists this ribosomal RNA (258 nucleotides) under uncultured bacterium. RNAcentral's name for it is "partial small subunit ribosomal RNA". It matches the Rfam family "Bacterial small subunit ribosomal RNA", at positions 26 to 280 of the family's 1533-position model. The record is from RNAcentral.